Molecule: small nuclear RNA, 201 nt
Filed under: Suricata suricatta (meerkat)
Lineage: Eukaryota; Metazoa; Chordata; Mammalia; Carnivora; Herpestidae
Description: U2 spliceosomal RNA (ENSSSUG00005004687.1)
Rfam family: U2 spliceosomal RNA (bases 1-111)
About the family: U2 is a small nuclear RNA (snRNA) component of the spliceosome (involved in pre-mRNA splicing). Complementary binding between U2 snRNA (in an area lying towards the 5' end but 3' to hairpin I) and the branchpoint sequence (BPS) of the intron results the bulging out of an unpaired adenosine, on the BPS, which initiates a nucleophilic attack at the intronic 5' splice site, thus starting the first of two transesterification reactions that mediate splicing.
Source: Rfam by way of RNAcentral
AUCGCUUCUCGGCCUUUUGGCUAAGAUCAAGUGUAGUAUCUGUUCUUAUCAGUUUAAUAAAAUAAGCAUUUUUUUUCCUGUAAUGUAGACUUCUCAAGGCAUGGACUCUUUCAGUCUUCUGUAUAUGCUUUUUAGUGCCCAUGGACUCCACGUGUAAAUGCUCAGAAAAUAUUUACUGCUUAAUUUUGGUCUGUACAUCCU